CAGAAAAACGAAAUGGUAAUCAGCUGUAGCGUGCUUGGCUGCAACGCCCAGCAGAAGGUUGACGGAUGUCUUUCCUUUCAUCGCUUUCCUCUGAAUGAUCAAAAAAGACUUGGGAAGUGGAUUUUGGGAACAGGGAGAGAACGAUGGAAUCCCAACAAAUACAGUUUCAUAUGCAGUCUACACUUUGGUGAGGAAUAUUUUAAGUAUUCAACGAAGGAGGGUGCCAAAAAGAGAGUAUUGUUAUCCAAGCACGCCAUCCCCAUGGUAACGAGCAAGUCAAAACAAGGCCAUACAAAAUCUACAGGCGUACAAGUUGAUGAGUCCGAACUUGGGGCACUUCCGCUGAAGCGCCGGAGACUGACCAAAGAUGACGACCACUCGUACGCUUCCUCGAGUUCCACGGAUAAAACAACCAAGACGAAGAUCAGAGCGCUGCAACAAAAAGUACGAAGGCUUGAAACGAGAAACAAAAGCAUGAAAGACAUGUUAAAAACAUUGAAGAAACAAAUCCCUCUUGACAGAUGAUGCUUAUGCUGAGCUUAAACAAAAUCAAUGAUUGUACUGGAAAGGUUCUAUUUUCGUGAUAUUUUGUUCUGACAUAAAUUUAUUCAUAACUUAGCUGGGCUGUGUCUAUUGAAAUAGUUGUUGGCCCGACCACUCUGCGUCUGUAACUCAACAAACGCCUUGAUCUCUAGUUGUUUUUGAGUCAGUAUCAAGAACCUAAGAAAUUAAUAUCAAACACACUAUUCCAGGAGAUACAAUGAGAAUAGACAUAAGUUAGGCAAAGUCAAAUAAAGUUAUGUUAGUUAGUAAAUUUAGGUUAGUUUGUAAGUUAAAUACAAAAUACUAUCGGUCUUAUAGUCUCCCGUCUCGUUGUUUGUCAAGUUGGCCAUGUCCGUUUGUGUAUCAUAUUGUCCGUGUAGCCUAUAUUGUCAGUUUCAUGGUUGUUCUCUGCAAGCCAUGAACAGACCCAUACUUUUAAACAAAACAAAAACCCACCAAAGCACUCCCGCCCUCAUUUAAGAUAACAACGUAUUGACCUCUAAAUAAUUGCUGAUGAGUUUAAUUGUUUCUCCAUAGAAAUGUAGGCCUUGGAUUAGCUCAGAAGAUCCCUGGAAUCAAUUCAGACCCGCUUGAUUAUAUUAGUAAUGACUUCUCUCUCUCUCUCUCUUUGUUCCUGAAUAACAUCUGAAUAACUUGGUAACUGCAUAAAUAAACUUCCGAGCAACAGAGCAAAAGGGCAUGGUGAAAUUGAUCAUCCAAUAUUAUUUAUAAUGAAAGAUAACGAUAUAGGGUCGUAUGGAAAUCUUCAACAACUUUACUGUGCCUUGCCUUUAGCAUCAUAUUAUAAGGUACCCGAUGAUUUGAAAACAGCAUAGUAUAAAUGGCGAUCCAUCGAUUGUAAUUAACUCUUACCUUACGUUUUCUUACAAGUUUGAAGUUUCAAUUCCAAGUUUCAAUUUGAUGUUAUAUUCCUUUAGUUGAGGAUUCUUCAGAACCUAAGAUAACUAGAUAUUUUCACUUCGAACAGGAAUAUUUGUUCUAAACCAAAUUGCAAUGGUUAGUAUACCAAUGAGAAAUGUUUAUGAGUGCAGUGGUAAGAAUAAUUUCAUGUGGUGCCACGUGGAAUGUUCCAUUCUACGAAGCGAAAUGAAACAAUCCAAAUGUCACCGAAUGAACUAUUCCAUUGCAUGAAUGUGAAACAUUCAUUAUUUGUUUUAUGCAACACCUGAAUAGAUCCUCGUUGUCUGAUUGGUCAGAGCCAUCUAUAUUUACCCUUAAACAGAACUUCUUUUUUUCGCUUAGCCGUGGGUUGAAACAAGUAAUUCCAUGACGUAUGGUCAACGACCAACCAAUCAGAUGACUGGGAUUCAUUCAGGCAAUGUAUAAAACUGCAAGCAUUUCAUGAGGAUAUUAAUUGUGGAAAUGUUCAUACACAUUUGGAAUGUUUCAAAAGUUUACCCUCCAUAAAAUGAUGUGAAUUCAACAGAAAAAAAGUAAUAUUAAUGCAAGUAGGACAUUAUUUAGUACAAUUUGUUAAAUUUUCCCAUUUCAUUAUCAUUCACAAAGAUCAAAAUUAUAUCUGAUUUGAGCAGCUGACUGACGUAAUAUUAAUGAGUUUGCAUAUGUCAUGUACAAGGAUACAUACUAAUUUCUAACAGUCAUUAUGCAUUUCAAAUGAGCAGUGAACAGA
This 2194-nucleotide long non-coding RNA is filed under the name Patiria miniata (bat star). RNAcentral's name for it is "uncharacterized LOC119740553". The record is from RNAcentral. Lineage: Eukaryota; Metazoa; Echinodermata; Asteroidea; Valvatida; Asterinidae.